UACGUAGGGCGCAAGCGUUGUCCGGAAUUAUUGGGCGUAAAGAGCUCGUAGGCGGCUUGUCACGGCGGUUGUGAAAGCCCGGGGCUUAACCCCGGGUCUGCAUUCGAUACGGGCUAGCUAGAGUGUGGUAGGGGAGAUCGGAAUUCCUGGUGUAGCGGUGAAAUGCGCAGAUAUCAGGAGGAACACCGGUGGCGAAGGCGGAUCUCUGGGCCAUUACUGACGCUGAGGAGCGAAAGCGUGGGGAGCGAACAGG
This 253-nucleotide ribosomal RNA is filed under the name uncultured bacterium. Its description in RNAcentral is "partial 16S ribosomal RNA". It matches the Rfam family "Bacterial small subunit ribosomal RNA", at positions 524 to 776 of the family's 1533-position model. The record is from RNAcentral.